UCGGUUUCCGCGGGCGGGGGCGUAGGGCCGGGGGGAGCGGCCGGGGGAGCUCGGCGGCCGCCGUCUUACGACAGAUCCUGGAAAGAGGAUCAAGGUGGGGCCCGCCCCGCCGCGCACCGCCGGCAACCGACGGGGCGGCCCGGGCUCGGCCGCUGGGAGCACGGCGGAGAGCUGCAGGCGGCGAGGCCCGGAGCGGCGAGCUCCAUCCAGCGCGGGUGAGUGGCGGAGACCCGCGCCCUGCCCUCGCUCCCGGCCCCGCGAGGCCGCUCCGAUGGGGGGAGUUGGGAGCUCCGCGCGGACCCCGCCGUCGGGGCGCCCCGCGAGGUGCCCUCCCGUCGGGGCCGCGCUGCGCUGCCCGGCCCGAGGGGCUGUUUACCCGGGCGGGGGGAGGCAGAUAAGGCGGAGGGGAAAUGCCGGGGCUGUUUGCUGAGGGAUUAGGGCCGGUCCCGCCGCGCCGGGGCCCGGGAUGGGGGUGGGGUGGGGGGGCGGCGGGCGCGGUGGGUGUCCCCGCGGAGAAGUCCGUUUGGAGAUCUGCGCUGAUUAACUGAGGGCUGCGGUGGCUGAAGAGGGCCCUGGCGCCAGGCGGCUGAGCCCUCACAAUAAAGACCCGUCUCUUGUCACUUCAUAUUUACCCCCAAAUCUUCAAAAAGCGCCCUGCGAUCCUUACAAGGCUCCUGCCCCCGCCGCCUGCGCUGCGGCCAGACGGGACGGGGACGGGGGGGCGGAGGCGGCCCCCUCCUCUGCCCACGGCUCCGCGGGUGCGCAGCGACGCGCUGCCUUCCUGGGGACCGCGCUGGGCCGCUCCCCGCGGAGGGUGAGACGCGGGGACCCCCGGCAGCCCUCUCCCCACCGCCACCUCUCCGCUGUUUCUCCCCACAUCGUGGUUCAUCGUGCUGCCAGCAAACCCCGGUGCUGCGAAGGGCCCGAGGAGAAGCCCCGGAGGCGGCCGCAUCCCGCCCCGUCCCGCGGCAGGUUCACCUCCAGCCGUCGCCUCCCGACGGGGCGGACACAGCGCGGCCACCGCGGAGCUGCCCUCACCGCCCCGGCCGCCGCGCGGGGCUGAGGGGGGUGUGUGUGUCUGGGGGGGGGGGAUCGGUCCCGCUGACCAUUGAACGGGGCGAGGUGGCGAGCGGGGAUUGAAAUUUAGACCUCAUUUGGACUUUGCUUCCUCGCCACCGUCGAAAUGUGCUGACUGCAGCUUUGGCAAAAAUGGGGCUUGCUUGGGCUUUUUUUUUCCCUUUUUUUUUUCCCCCUCCCCUCCAAGCACACCCGGAUCCUCGCGUUGCCCCAGGGCCACAUCACCCCACUCCAGGGCACUGCGCAGACCCGCAGACACCGCACCCGCAGCUCCGAGGGGCAGUGCGGGGCCCCGCAAAGAAACGUCGCCUCUCCCCGGGCCCAGGUUCCGGGACCCCCCCGGCACAGCUGUAACGUCGCGAACGCCCACGCCUGCAGAAUAAAAACCGAUCCAGAGCCGCCUCGUCUCCCCGAGCCUCUGUGGCAGCGCCCGUCGGUGGGACAGCCGAGCCGGUAGACUUAGGCCUUGGCGCCAGGCCGUUUAAGACCUGUCAAAGUCCUUCAUAUUUCCCUCAUGUCACAUGGACCUUUCGCUCCCUUCCCCGCGCCAUGCGAGGGCCGUAAUUUGGAUCUGUGAGCUGGUGAGCAAAUGCAAUUUGCUCUUCUCCAUCGCUGCGUUGUCUCCGUGACCCCAGCCAGCAGGACGGCUGGUGUCCUGUCCGGGGCACUUACACAAAUUGCGGCUGAUUGAUGAAAAAUAACAAUUCUCCGAGCAGUCGGGCCUCCGUCUUCCCCUCCUCCCGGCUCCUCCGGGCUGAGGCGGCUCCGCGCCCCGGGGCGCUCCUCUCGACGGUGCGGGGCCGCCCCACGAACCGCCGCCGGCCGCCUCUGGAGUGACUCUCGGAUUGAGCCAAAAAGGGGUUUUCUUCUCGUGCUGGAAGCGAGCCGUCGGGGCCCGCUUCUCGGCAGAGAUGAAGGGCGUUGUACGCCUGGGCCCUGACGGAGCCGGGCAGCAGCGGCCGUUGUGCACCUUCCAGAGGUGGGAAAAGGCCGGGCCGCGAAAGAGCCGGGUCCGCUGCGGGGGGUUCCUCAGCCCGGUGGGGCCGCCGAGGGCCGGGCUGAGCGGCUGUCCAUCACCGGACGUGGGGCACCAGAGUCCUCUGCACGUGCAGUGCACAGCAAUCCCGCAGGUGCGGGCUGGGAGCUCGUGGAAAUAACCCUUCGCCCUCGGAGGAGCGGCCCCGAAGCUCUCUGCCACUUUUCUCCCUCUCCACCUGGAGAAGAGACACGGGGGAACGUCCCCGCCCCGCGCUGAGGUGCCCGUCGAGGGGCGGCGGCUGCCCCACAGGUGGGGCGGGGAGAGACCCGAUGAUCGCCCCGUCCCGGGCCCCGUGGGAUGCGCCUUUAUGGAUAGCGAUGCCCGGCCCCGGCCACACCACCUCUUCCCGCUGUGCGCCCCGUCCGUGCGGAGGGAACCCCGGCACCCCCUGAGCUCCCCCCACCCUCAGCCUGUUUAGAUUUCUCUCCGAAUGUUUCCCGUAAUCCAGAUUUCUGGAAAAUAACCACACGCGGGCAGACGCGGCCACGAACGCCGCUGAAGUUUAUCCGGAGUUUUACCAACGUAUAAACACAUUUCCAGCCCGUUCGGCGGGGCGGGCGCUGGGUGACCCCUGCCCGGCACCGGGGCUGCACCGCGCUCCGCCCUCGUUACCUCCGCGCCGCUUUGAUCCGGAGCCCUCCGAGCUCCGCCGCUUGAUUGAGUUUUUGCAAUUAAGGAGCGCAGGGAGAGGGAGGGGGGGGGCGGCCGUAACCCCGCACACCCCGGGGCUGCGCACGUCGGGGCGCGGCGCCUCGGCCGCUCCGAGCCCGUUCCCUUAAAAGGCGACG
This 2904-nucleotide long non-coding RNA is filed under the name Gallus gallus (chicken). Lineage: Eukaryota; Metazoa; Chordata; Aves; Galliformes; Phasianidae. The record is from RNAcentral.